Molecule: ribosomal RNA, 465 nt
Filed under: uncultured bacterium
Lineage: Bacteria
Description: partial 16S ribosomal RNA
Rfam family: Bacterial small subunit ribosomal RNA
Source: RNAcentral
GACGAACGCUGGCGGCGUGCUUAACACAUGCAAGUCGAACGGAAAGGCCCUGCUUGCAGGGUACUCGAGUGGCGAACGGGUGAGUAACACGUGGGUGAUCUGCCCUGCACUUCGGGAUAAGCCUGGGAAACUGGGUCUAAUACCGGAUAGGAGCCAUUUUUAGUGUGAUGGUUGGAAAGUUUUUUCGGUGUAGGAUGAGCUCGCGGCCUAUCAGCUUGUUGGUGGGGUAAUGGCCUACCAAGGCGGCGACGGGUAGCCGGCCUGAGAGGGUGGACGGCCACAUUGGGACUGAGAUACGGCCCAGACUCCUACGGGAGGCAGCAGUGGGGAAUAUUGCACAAUGGGCGCAAGCCUGAUGCAGCGACGCCGCGGGGGGGAUGACGGCCUUCGGGUUGUAAACUCCUUUCGCUAGGAACGAAGCUUUUUGUGACGGUACCUAGAGAAGAAGCACCGGCUAACUACGUG